Molecule: long non-coding RNA, 1032 nt
Organism: Mastomys coucha (southern multimammate mouse)
Lineage: Eukaryota; Metazoa; Chordata; Mammalia; Rodentia; Muridae
Exons: 2
Source: RefSeq, a predicted model, not a curated record
GAAAUCCUACUCCACAAAUAUCUGUUCAACCAUGUUCACUGAUGCUCUACUCACAAUAGCUGGGAACUGGAAAUUAAAUGUGCUUCAACCAACAAAUGCAGAGUGAAAGUGUGGUACACAUAACUUAUGUAAUACUAUUCAGCUGUGAAGAAAAACGCAAUCACGAAGUCUGCAGGUAACGGGGAAGCAAACAAGAGUCCAGCUGAGCUAUGAGAUCUCUGAACCACCACAAGCAACAUGGCAUAAUAACCAUAAGAUACAAAAUUGACACACAUAACCAACAGCUCUCUAAUUGGCUUUAGUAGCCACUUGGCAAGACAAAAGUUAUACCUAGUGCUGGAAACCAUAGAUCUUGGAGAACCUACAGUCCCCACCUUACUAAACCAGCAUAAUUCAUCUACAUUCUAAACAUGUUUCUUUACACCCACAAAUAAAUGUAGUCUUCAUCCUUCAUCAAAGAAACAUCUCUUUGUAACAGACAGAAACUAUCGCAGAAAACCACAAUGGAUCAAAAUGCAAAGUUGUAGAGCCCGGUCCCAAUGGAUACAUGUACAGUACAUCUCACAUUUUAGAAGAGGAUGUGUAAAGAUUUUAAAAGCCAGAGGAUCAAGGAGUUUGCUGUGAGGUUGUGUCUCUUUGUGAUGUCAGAAGCUACACAGAUGUCUCAGCAACAUGCCUGCUUAAAUAGGAGCUGGGCAAGGAGGACACUAACAGACAGACCUGCUAAUGUGGGAAGAGGAAGCUCAGGACGCCUCGGCCCUACACAAAGAACUUCAGACAACUAAGACCUGAGUGCGUUAACUCACAAUCCUGCUUCUCCCUUCUGCGUAUUAGCAUGUGCCAUCAAGCUCUAUCUUCGUGUGAUGCUGGGGACAGAACCUAGGACUCUGAGCACAAGUGGCAAGUGCUCACCACUACAGCUGUGCCCAGCCAGAGAGGCUGACUUCCUUGUUUUCAAGUUUGUUUUCAUUUCUUCAACAAAUUUCCUUUUUUUUCUUUUAUUGCUAUCUUGCAAUAAAUAGUUUAAAAGAC